CGCUGUCACAUUUGCCCGCGUAGGCUUUAUCUUAUACCCAAAGCAAAAGGCAAAGAACAAAAUUAAUUCCCCAUAAGCUUCACGAAGAAGCCAGCAAGAGAGAGAGGGGAGGAGAGAAGGGGGUUCAAUGGCCUCCGUCACAGAUUCCUUUCCGGUAAACUUGUCGGCCUUUGGGGUUUAUUCUUUUGUAGCUUUCUUUUUUAUGAGAAAAGCAAAAGGGUUGGUGGUGCGAGGGUGGUGGGAUGGUAUGGCAGCCGAACCCGAACGCGAACGCGAACGCGGAUUACGAAAAAAGCGUGUGGAGAGGAGGACGGCGACUCUGCAGGUCCCGAGAUCACGUGCUCCGCUACGGGAGGAACGGCGAUUAUCCGGGUCCGAGCAGACCGAUAGAGAGAUAGAGAGAUAAUAAAGAGAGAGAGAGAGAGAGAUCCCCUUUUCGUCGCUGUGUCAGAGAGGGUUGGAAAGGGAAGAGGAAGAGGAAGAGGAAGGAGGUGGGGACUGUGGGGGACGGCGCUCGCUGGCACAGUUCGCCCUCCCUUGUGUCAGGUUUGGUUUCGCUUUAUUUCUUUUUCUCUUUGUAUUUUUUAAUACCUACGGUUUAGUUCUCAAUUAUUGGAGUGCUUUAGGAUAAAUUAAUAUGAUAAAGUCAAAAAAAAAAAAUCCAAAUUAUGUACACGGUAACAUAUUUAUCUAUAGGCAUCGAAAAAUCAUAAGUUAUGCUCGAUACAUUUACCCUAAUUUUCUUUUGUAACAUAAAAAAUCCUAAACUUAAUAUUCAUUUAACAUACUUUUUUUUUUUUUUUGGAAUUUAACAUCUGCUAAAAAAAUUUCAAAUAAUUUUUUUUUCACUUCUUCUCGAGGUCCAAAUAGGGAGAUUUUAAUAAUUCUUCCUGACAGAACUUUUACAAGUGCGCAAGUUUGGAAUUUUUGUGUCACAAAACAAAAUUUAAGAUGAAUAUAUAUCAUAUUGAGUAGAGUUUGGGAUUUUUAAUGGCUUUUAUCCUUAGUUUAAAUUGCAGUAGCAUCUGCCGCUAUGAUUGCUCUUUCCUUAACGUUCUUUUGUUUUGAAUUCGUGCUAUUAUCUGUCAAUUAUCGUUCACGCUUAAUUAUUGGUUCCGAGGAAUUGAAAAUUCGUGCCUGAUAAUUGGUUGCAGCAACUGGGAAUGCGAACCGGCGACCUUCUUUUUUCAUCUUUUAAAUUUUUUAAUGAAAUUAUAUCUAUUUUACUUUAUCUCUUUGGCGCUUUCUCGACAGCCCGUGUCAUAAGACACUGAUUCUUUUACAAGAAUGGUUUUUGCCAAUUGGAUGUGAUUCAAUUAUGGGAUGGGAGGGAGAACUGUCAGGCAUUAGUUGACAGGCUCAAAGAAGUUGCAUCUUUGAUUAAUUUAAUGCAGAUAUAUUCCACCUCUCUCUCUCUAUAUAUAUAAUAUUUAUUUAGUUAUUUAUUUUGGUAGAAAAAUUCCACCUUUAUAUUAGUCGACGUCGUAUCUAUUGUUUCGAAAUGAACUUGCCCCACUAAUCCCCCCACUUCAUCACAAAAACGAGAUUUCAAGAGGUACUUGAAUGUUUAAGGAUCCCCACUCAACGUUUUCUCUAAUCAUUCCCUUAACGUAACUCUUAAGCUGCAUGAAGGAUAUGGAGAGUUCUCGACAUAAAUUAUUAGAAAGAAAAGGACACCUUUUGCGUAAAAUAUGGAUUGUUUAGCAUCGCAUGUCUAAACGGGCUUUUUUGCAUUUCCGGACAAGGGUCUCUACAAAUCCCCAUGUCUGAAGAAACCGCAAUUUGUAGCUGUUGUAAGGGAAGGAAGAUAUGAGAGCAGAGUCCGAAGAAGCUCGAAGAAAGCAUGCGAAGCCGUUCGUGGUAAUAAAAACAUUAAGGACGCCAUCAGUUCUCGGUGGUUGACAGCGUUUGGUGCAGUGGUCCUCGCAGUUUCGUGUGGACGGGUGACAUUGUCGACAUAUGUGAUGGGGGCAUCUCGUCUUCCGCGGUGCACAUCUUCAUUCACUUCCCCUUCCCAUCAUCUCAUUAAGGCCGACGGAGGAUAACAAGGAGUGAUAAUGUCAUAUCGCCACCUUAUGCGGUUGGGUUUAGGUCGAUCAUCAAAUUUGAGAGCCGCCUCUACGGGUGCGAGGCAGAGAUCGCGAAGCAGCCAUCACCACCAUGUAAUUAUCGCCUCAGGAGGGCAGGUACCUCGAGAUUACGGCCGUCCACCCUCCAAUUUCAGAUUGGAGAACCACAUGGAUUGAGAUGCGUGCGCGCGAAAGAGAGAGAGGGGGGAUGGUCCCCGGGCAUGCCACCGUCUCUCGGUGGUCGCGGGAUCGGCGGGGCGUCUCCGUUUGACAAGAUCAGUUUUUAAAUUCGUUUUGGGCAUUUUUCUACUUUCUCGUGCAACAUUAGUGGGAGACAACUUUUCAAAAGAUGCACGAGGGAUUUUGCUAUUUUGCUUCUCUCGUUAUACCUGAAUUCAUGUGGGUUUGGUUAAGGGGUGGUGGGCUUCCACGGAAUGCACCGCUGGCCGCACAUUAAUUUCGAUCUGUAUUAACAUUCCUUCGGUUCGUUGGCAUUUGGCAAUGGGGCUAAUGAAAGGGCCUUUUCUAUAUCAGAA
Long non-coding RNA from Eucalyptus grandis, 2605 nucleotides. RefSeq lists it as uncharacterized. The record is from RefSeq and is a predicted model, not a curated record. The transcript has 2 exons. Lineage: Eukaryota; Viridiplantae; Streptophyta; Magnoliopsida; Myrtales; Myrtaceae.